CAAUAGCGUAUAUUAAAGUUGUUGCGGUUAAAAAGCUCGUAGUUGGAUUUCUGCCGAGGACGUCCGGUCCGCCCUCUGGGUGAGUACAUGGCACGGCCUGGGCAUCUUCUUGGGGAACGUAUCUGCACUUGACUGUGUGGUGCGGUAUCCAGGACUUUUACUUUGAGGAAAUUAGAGUGUUUCAAGCAGGCACACGCCUUGAGUACAUUAGCAUGGAAUAAUAAGAUAGGACCUCGGUUCUAUUUUGUUGGUUUCUAGAGCUGAGGUAAUGAUUAAUAGGGAUAGUUGGGGGCAUUCGUAUUUAACUGUCAGAGGUGAAAUUCUUGGAUUUGUUAAAGACGGACUACUGUGAAAGCAUUUGCCAAGGAUGUUUUCAUUGA
This 380-nucleotide ribosomal RNA is filed under the name uncultured eukaryote. RNAcentral describes it as "partial 18S ribosomal RNA". It matches the Rfam family "Eukaryotic small subunit ribosomal RNA", at positions 592 to 976 of the family's 1831-position model. The record is from RNAcentral.